Molecule: non-coding RNA, 193 nt
Filed under: uncultured Stenotrophomonas sp.
Lineage: Bacteria; Pseudomonadati; Pseudomonadota; Gammaproteobacteria; Lysobacterales; Lysobacteraceae
Description: FMN
Rfam family: FMN riboswitch aptamer (RFN element)
About the family: The RFN element is a highly conserved domain that is found frequently in the 5'-untranslated regions of prokaryotic mRNAs that encode for flavin mononucleotide (FMN) biosynthesis and transport proteins. This element is a metabolite-dependent riboswitch that directly binds FMN in the absence of proteins.
Source: RNAcentral
GAACGUCUUCAGGGCGGGGUGCGAUUCCCCACCGGCGGUAGGUGCGGUCUUUCCGAUGGAAUGGACGCACGAGCCCGCGAGCGCCGAGGCUGACGGGGUUGCGCAUCACGAUGCGCGCUCCGGUUGGCCGAGGGUCAGCAGAUCCGGUCCGAUGCCGGAGCCGACGGUAUAGUCCGGAUGAAAGAAGAUGUGC